UUUUUGCCAUAGGCGCCCACUGGGACACCCAAUCAAGAACCAUUGUUGAAGCCCAUCUCAAGGAGCUGGCAUGCCCUAUGCCAGUUAUCUUUGCAAAAGCCACCCCCGUGGACAGACAAGAAACCAAAUAUAUCUACGAGUGCCCUGUGUACAAACCAAAUGGAGAGGCCCCAGCUACAUCUGGACCUUCAUGCUGAAGAGCAAAGGGAAGACUGCAAAAUGGGUUCUAGCCAGAGUGGCUCUGCUGCAAGAA
This 253-nucleotide long non-coding RNA is filed under the name Homo sapiens (human). RNAcentral's name for it is "non-protein coding lnc-HGSNAT-12:1". The record is from RNAcentral. Lineage: Eukaryota; Metazoa; Chordata; Mammalia; Primates; Hominidae.